RNAcentral lists this ribosomal RNA (484 nucleotides) under uncultured bacterium. RNAcentral's name for it is "partial 16S ribosomal RNA". It matches the Rfam family "Bacterial small subunit ribosomal RNA", at positions 30 to 507 of the family's 1533-position model. The record is from RNAcentral.
AUUGAACGCUGGCGGCAUGCUUUACACAUGCAAGUCGAACGGCAGCGCGGGCUUCGGCCUGGCGGCGAGUGGCGAACGGGUGAGUAAUACAUCGGAACGUGCCCAGUAGUGGGGGAUAGCUCGGCGAAAGCCGGAUUAAUACCGCAUACGACCUGAGGGUGAAAGCGGGGGAUCUUCGGACGUCGCGCUAUUUGAUCGGCCGAUGGCUGAUUAGCUAGUUGGUGGGGUAAAGGCCUACCAAGGCGACGAUCUGUAGCUGGUCUGAGAGGACGACCAGCCACACUGGGACUGAGACACGGCCCAGACUCCUACGGGAGGCAGCAGUGGGGAAUUUUGGACAAUGGGCGAAAGCCUUAUCCAGCAAUGCCGCGUGUGUGAUGAAGGCCUUCGGGUUGUAAAGCACUUUUGGCGGGAACGAAAAGGACUGUGCCAAUACCACGGUACGAUGACGGUACCCGCAGAAUAAGCACCGGCUAACUACGUG